AACAUCAUUGAUAACUCGGAGAGAUACAAAGCAGAAGAUUCAUAAGAAAGGGGGCCUUAGAGGAAAAAUAUCUUAGAAAAAAUACAAGUAAUUAAUCAUAGAGUGCCUAAGGGUUUGGAGGAGGCAUCCGCUGAAGUAGCUGAGCAAGCAGGUUUUGGAUGCUGGAGUUUACUUGAUGUUACUAGUCAAGUCUCGCUCUCAC
RNAcentral lists this long non-coding RNA (202 nucleotides) under Lathyrus oleraceus (garden pea). Its description in RNAcentral is "Pisum sativum (pea) long non-coding RNA (PSAT_LNC022704)". Lineage: Eukaryota; Viridiplantae; Streptophyta; Magnoliopsida; Fabales; Fabaceae. The record is from RNAcentral.